ACGAAGGGGGCUAGCGUUGUUCGGAAUGACUGGGCGUAAAGCGCACGUAGGCGGCCUGUUUAGUCAGGGGUGAAAUCCCGGGGCUUAACCCCGGAACUGCCUUUGAUACUGGCAGGCUUGAGCCCGGAAGAGGGUGGCGGAAUACCCAGUGUAGAGGUGAAAUUCGUAGAUAUUGGGUAGAACACCGGUGGCGAAGGCGGCCACCUGGUCCGGUGCUGACGCUGAGGUGCGAAAGCGUGGGGAGCAAACAG
This 251-nucleotide ribosomal RNA is filed under the name uncultured prokaryote. RNAcentral's name for it is "partial 16S rRNA". It matches the Rfam family "Bacterial small subunit ribosomal RNA", at positions 525 to 775 of the family's 1533-position model. The record is from RNAcentral.